Molecule: ribosomal RNA, 338 nt
Filed under: uncultured soil bacterium
Lineage: Bacteria
Description: bacterial SSU rRNA
Rfam family: Bacterial small subunit ribosomal RNA
Source: RNAcentral
AGAACGAACGCUGGCGGCAUGCCUAACACAUGCAAGUCGAACGAGACCUUCGGGUCUAGUGGCGCACGGGUGCGUAACGCGUGGGAAUCUGCCCUUGGGUUCGGAAUAACAGCGAGAAAUUGCUGCUAAUACCGGAUGAUGACGUAAGUCCAAAGAUUUAUCGCCCAAGGAUGAGCCCGCGUAGGAUUAGCUUGUUGGUGAGGUAAGAGCUCACCGAAGGCGACGAUCCUUAGCUGGUCUGAGAGGAUGAUCAGCCACGACUGGGACUGAGACACGGCCCAGACUCCGUACGGGAGGCAGCGAGGUGGGAAUAGUUGGACAAGUGGGACGAAGCCUGA